Molecule: ribosomal RNA, 465 nt
Filed under: uncultured bacterium
Lineage: Bacteria
Description: bacterial SSU rRNA
Rfam family: Bacterial small subunit ribosomal RNA
Source: RNAcentral
CCUANGGGGGGCUGCAGUGGGGAAUUUUGGACAAUGGGCGCAAGCCUGAUCCAGCCAUGCCGCGUGCGGGAAGAAGGCCUUCGGGUUGUAAACCGCUUUUGUCAGGGAAGAAAUCCUCUGGGUUAAUACCUCGGGGGGAUGACGGUACCUGAAGAAUAAGCACCGGCUAACUACGUGCCAGCAGCCGCGGUAAUACGUAGGGUGCGAGCGUUAAUCGGAAUUACUGGGCGUAAAGCGUGCGCAGGCGGUCUUGCAAGACAGGUGUGAAAUCCCCGGGCUUAACCUGGGAACUGCACUUGUGACUGCAAGGCUGGAGUACGGCAGAGGGGGAUGGAAUUCCGCGUGUAGCAGUGAAAUGCGUAGAUAUGCGGAGGAACACCGAUGGCGAAGGCAAUCCCCUGGGCCUGUACUGACGCUCAUGCACGAAAGCGUGGGGAGCAAACAGGAUUAGAUACCCGUNUANUC